UUAGGUAGUUGGUGGGGUAAAGGCUCACCAAGCCGACGAUCUGUAGCUGGUCUGAGAGGACGACCAGCCACACUGGGACUGAGACACGGCCCAGACUCCUACGGGAGGCAGCAGUGGGGAAUUUUGGACAAUGGGCGCAAGCCUGAUCCAGCCAUUCCGCGUGAGUGAAGAAGGCCUUCGGGUUGUAAAGCUCUUUCGCAAGGGAAGAAAACUUAGGCUCUAACAUAGCCUGAGGUUGACGGUACCUUGAUAAGAAGCACCGGCUAACUACGUGCCAGCAGCCGCGGUAAUACGUAGGGUGCGAGCGUUAAUCGGAAUUACUGGGCGUAAAGCGUGCGCAGGCGGUUUUGUAAGUCAGAUGUGAAAUCCCCGAGCUCAACUUGGGAACUGCGUUUGAAACUACAAGACUAGAAUAUGUCAGAGGGGGGUAGAAUUCCACGUGUAGCAGUGAAAUGCGUAGAGAUGUGGAGGAAUACCAAUGGCGAAGGCAGCCCCCUGGGAUAAUAUUGACGCUCAUGCACGAAAGCGUGGGGAGCAAACAGGAUUAGAUA
RNAcentral lists this ribosomal RNA (551 nucleotides) under uncultured bacterium. RNAcentral's name for it is "bacterial SSU rRNA". It matches the Rfam family "Bacterial small subunit ribosomal RNA", at positions 241 to 784 of the family's 1533-position model. The record is from RNAcentral.